RNAcentral lists this small nuclear RNA (187 nucleotides) under Moschus moschiferus (Siberian musk deer). Its description in RNAcentral is "U2 spliceosomal RNA (ENSMMSG00000006714.1)". It matches the Rfam family "U2 spliceosomal RNA". Rfam says of the family: U2 is a small nuclear RNA (snRNA) component of the spliceosome (involved in pre-mRNA splicing). Complementary binding between U2 snRNA (in an area lying towards the 5' end but 3' to hairpin I) and the branchpoint sequence (BPS) of the intron results the bulging out of an unpaired adenosine, on the BPS, which initiates a nucleophilic attack at the intronic 5' splice site, thus starting the first of two transesterification reactions that mediate splicing. The record is from Rfam by way of RNAcentral. Lineage: Eukaryota; Metazoa; Chordata; Mammalia; Artiodactyla; Moschidae.
AUAUUUUCUGCCUUUAUUAGCUCCCUUAAAACUGCCCACACUUAACAGUUUAAUAUCUGAUACGCCCUCUAUCCGAGGACAAUAUAUUAAAUGGAUUUUUGGAGCAGGGAGUUGGAAUAGGAGAUUGCUCCAUUCACUCUUAGCUCCGAUCUGAUACUGCAGUACCUCCAGGAACAGUGCAUCCUCU